This 492-nucleotide ribosomal RNA is filed under the name uncultured bacterium. Its description in RNAcentral is "partial 16S ribosomal RNA". It matches the Rfam family "Bacterial small subunit ribosomal RNA", at positions 29 to 507 of the family's 1533-position model. The record is from RNAcentral.
AGUGAACGCUGGCGGUAGGCCUAACACAUGCCAGUCGAACGGCAGCACAGUAAGAGCUUGCUCUUACGGGUGGCGAGUGGCGGACGGGUGAGGAAUACAUCGGAAUCUACUUUUUCGUGGGGGAUAACGUAGGGAAACUUACGCUAAUACCGCAUACGGCCUACGGGUGAAAGCAGGGGAUCUUCGGACCUUGCGCGAUUGAAUGAGCCGAUGUCGGAUUAGCUAGUUGGCGGGGUAAAGGCCCACCAAGGCGACGAUCCGUAGCUGGUCUGAGAGGAUGAUCAGCCACACUGGAACUGAGACACGGUCCAGACUCCUACGGGAGGCAGCAGUGGGGAAUAUUGGACAAUGGGCGCAAGCCUGAUCCAGCCAUACCGCGUGGGUGAAGAAGGCCUUCGGGUUGUAAAGCCCUUUUGUUGGGAAAGAAAAGCAGCAGGUUAAUACCCCGCUGUUCUGACGGUACCCAAAGAAUAAGCACCGGCUAACUUCGUG